ACCAAAUGCAACUUACAUUUUAAUAUUAUGAAUGAACACGAAUGAGGCCUUUUUCAUCUAAGACGGAAACCGUAUAAAAUUUAACUAAAAUGCUAAAAUUGUGAAGAUUUCAGUAAUUUAGCAUGACUUAAUGAUGUUAGUACCCGAUAUAUGUGCAUUGUAUUGUCAAAAACGGCCCAUAUUUGUGUAGCAGAAGCAUUCUACAUUCCUAUAAAUAGCUAAAAGUUUACAUUUUCACAAUUUUGCAAAACUGCUAUAUUUUGGUGCCAAAAUGGGGUCUUUAGUUACUGAACUACUCCUUUACAAUUGGAAUUUAAAAAAAGAUAUAAUCAAUUAAUUAUAAUAAGAAUGAUAACUUCCUGGUGCAAUAAUUCUGAAAUGGUUUAUAUCAUAAUCCAUAGUCUACAAAGAUUUAAAGCAAUUACACAGAGCACAAAGAAGAUUGUCUUAACAGAUAAACAGAGAAAAGAAUUGAUAAAGCAUAAUCUGUAUUCCACGAUAAUUCCUACACAUUCAAUUUGUAUAAUGUUAAUAUCAUAGCAUUAGUAAUUACAUUAUAGCCAUCAAAUCACAAAACAUAAAAAUAAAUGCUCAGUAACAUUUUAAUUUACAUAUACUGCAAAGCACUCCAUAUCUUACUGAAAAGAACACUUAUAAUGGCAUAGCUUUAUCUGCUAUGUAUUCUGGCAAUUUUUUGUUCAAUAUAUACAUGAAUAAGGUGAAUUCUCCAAAAAAAAUUCAAUCAAUUGUAACUGUAUCAAAAAUUCAGUUUGUUAGUUGUGGCUUAAGAAAGUAGGUAGGUAAGUAAAUUUUAUUAAGAGUCGGGCAUCAUAUGUACAAAUUAACACCGUGAACAUGAACUCUGGACAGCUCUUAGCUGACGUGAUAUUUAAAAAACAAAUAAC
RNAcentral lists this long non-coding RNA (905 nucleotides) under Mytilus galloprovincialis (Mediterranean mussel). Lineage: Eukaryota; Metazoa; Mollusca; Bivalvia; Mytilida; Mytilidae. The record is from RNAcentral.